GGCAUGGUGGCUUAGUGGUUAGCACUGUUAUCUUACACCCCUGGGGUCAAGGGUUUGAAUCCCACCUCUGCCC
Pangasius djambal is the source of this 73-nucleotide non-coding RNA. The record is from the annotation of a GenBank genome assembly. Lineage: Eukaryota; Metazoa; Chordata; Actinopteri; Siluriformes; Pangasiidae.